UGGGGAAUAUUACACAAUGGGCGAAAGCCUGAUGCAGCAACGCCGCGUGAGCGAUGAAGGCCUUCGGGUCGUAAAGCUCCGUCCUCAAGGAAGAUAAUGACGGUACUUGAGGAGGAAGCCCCGGCUAACUACGUGCCAGCAGCCGCGGUAAUACGUAGGGGGCUAGCGUUAUCCGGAUUUACUGGGCGUAAAGGGUGCGUAGGCGGUCUUUUAAGUCAGGAGUGAAAGGCUACGGCUCAACCGUAGUAAGCUCUUGAAACUGGAGGACUUGAGUGCAGGAGAGGAGAGUGGAAUUCCUAGUGUAUCGUUUAAAUGCGUAGAUAUUAGGAGGAACACCAGUCACGACGGCGGCUCUCUGGAGCGUAACCGACGUUGAGGCACGAAAGCUUGGGGAGCAAACA
RNAcentral lists this ribosomal RNA (401 nucleotides) under uncultured prokaryote. Its description in RNAcentral is "bacterial SSU rRNA". It matches the Rfam family "Bacterial small subunit ribosomal RNA", at positions 355 to 774 of the family's 1533-position model. The record is from RNAcentral.